RNAcentral lists this ribosomal RNA (253 nucleotides) under uncultured bacterium. Its description in RNAcentral is "partial 16S ribosomal RNA". It matches the Rfam family "Bacterial small subunit ribosomal RNA", at positions 524 to 776 of the family's 1533-position model. The record is from RNAcentral.
UACGGAGGGGGCUAGCGUUAUUCGGAAUUACUGGGCGUAAAGCGCGCGUAGGCGGCUUUGCAAGUCAGAUGUGAAAUCCCUCGGCUUAACCGAGGAAGUGCGUUUGAAACUGCAGAGCUUGAGUACUAAAGAGGAUGGCGGAAUUCCCGAAGUAGAGGUGAAAUUCGUAGAUAUCGGGAGGAACACCGGUGGCGAAGGCGGCCAUCUGGGUAGUCACUGACGCUGAGGCGCGAAAGCGUGGGUACCAAACAGG